RNAcentral lists this long non-coding RNA (313 nucleotides) under Capsella rubella. RNAcentral describes it as "long non-coding RNA (CRUB_LNC002700)". Lineage: Eukaryota; Viridiplantae; Streptophyta; Magnoliopsida; Brassicales; Brassicaceae. The record is from RNAcentral.
ACGUGUCAGUGGGAUUCGCGAAUAAUGGAUAAUAAGAAACGGGACGGUCCCGUUUCUGCGUACGUCCUACCUAUUAAUUUUUUUUUUGAUUUUUUUUUUUACUAUAAAUUCGGUGGGACUUUAUGCUGGGUACUCUAAUGCACUUACUUUUAGUUGAAGCCAAAGAAGAAGUAACAAUGCGUUACCAAAAACAGAAAGCAAAGACAUGUUUGACGUUUAGGAAAGUCUGAAUAAUCAUAUUAGUUUAAUUUUAUUAAAUCAAUUAACAAAAACAAAAUUGGAUUUGAACUAGACCUACUGAAUUGGAUACUGC